RNAcentral lists this non-coding RNA (184 nucleotides) under Izhakiella australiensis. RNAcentral's name for it is "6S RNA". It matches the Rfam family "6S / SsrS RNA". Rfam says of the family: E. coli 6S RNA was the first non coding RNA to be sequenced, but its function was unknown until recently. It consists of 184 nucleotides that fold into an extended hairpin structure with a large single-stranded internal bulge. The 6S RNA specifically associates with RNA polymerase holoenzyme containing the sigma70 specificity factor. Lineage: Bacteria; Pseudomonadati; Pseudomonadota; Gammaproteobacteria; Enterobacterales; Erwiniaceae. The record is from RNAcentral.
CUUUCUCUGAGAUGUUUGCAAGCGGGCCAGUCCCCUGAGCCGAUAUUUCAAAAGCACAGAAUGCGGCGCUCCGCGGUUUGUGCGCAUGCCCGGUUCGUCCGGGAAGCCUGAUAGCCGCGACGACGCAUUCACCUUGAACCAAGGGUUCAAGGGUUACAGCCUGCGGCGGCAUCUCGGAGAUCCC